This 75-nucleotide transfer RNA is filed under the name Planctomycetota bacterium. RNAcentral's name for it is "Planctomycetes bacterium tRNA-Met". It matches the Rfam family "tRNA". Rfam says of the family: Transfer RNA (tRNA) molecules are approximately 80 nucleotides in length. Their secondary structure includes four short double-helical elements and three loops (D, anti-codon, and T loops). The record is from RNAcentral. Lineage: Bacteria; Pseudomonadati; Planctomycetota.
UGCGGGAUGACGCAGUGGUAGCGUGCUAGGUUCAUACCCUAGAAGUCGGGGGUUCGACUCCCCCUCCCGCUACUA